Molecule: ribosomal RNA, 253 nt
Filed under: uncultured bacterium
Lineage: Bacteria
Description: partial 16S ribosomal RNA
Rfam family: Bacterial small subunit ribosomal RNA
Source: RNAcentral
UACGAGGGGGGCGAGCGUUGUUCGGAUUUAUUGGGCGUAAAGCGCGUGUAGGCGGUCUUCUAAGUCUGAUGUGAAAGCCCUGGGCUCAACCCAGGAAGUGCAUUGGAUACUGGAAGACUUGAAUACGGGAGAGGGUAGUGGAAUUCCUAGUGUAGGAGUGAAAUCCGUAGAUAUUAGGAGGAACACCGGUGGCGAAGGCGGCUACCUGGACCGAUAUUGACGCUGAGACGCGAAAGCGUGGGGAGCAAACAGG